Molecule: long non-coding RNA, 232 nt
Organism: Arabidopsis thaliana (thale cress)
Lineage: Eukaryota; Viridiplantae; Streptophyta; Magnoliopsida; Brassicales; Brassicaceae
Product: other RNA
Exons: 1
Source: RefSeq
GCCAGCAAUAUAUGGCUCCCACAAGUCGAAUGAAAAAUAUGAAACGUUCCAAGCUUUGAGAUGUGCAUUCGAAUAAAGAUACUUUUCUAUUAAAAGUUAAAACCAAUGGCCACAUCGUAUUAUUAGUAUUGUCUUAUUUUUGGGAACCCCAAGUUUAUGUACGUAGAUCGUCAAUUAGCUCCAAUUGGUCGAGAUAAUUCUUCUUCUUAUAGCAUCUUUCUCACCCUUUCCU